This is a long non-coding RNA of Tympanuchus pallidicinctus (lesser prairie-chicken), 607 nucleotides long. RefSeq lists it as uncharacterized. The record is from RefSeq and is a predicted model, not a curated record. Lineage: Eukaryota; Metazoa; Chordata; Aves; Galliformes; Phasianidae. The transcript is spliced from 3 exons.
GUAGGAGGAAAGUCACCAACUAUUCAACUGCUGCUGUCCUUUCAACGGAUGCUGUAGCACUCUCACACUUCAUCAUGUUGACUGUGUAUGUCUUGCUUUAGAUGCUGGUUUUCCCUUAUGAGACUGAAGAGUCGUGGAGACAGCAGCCACUUUCUGUGAUACAGAACACAGGCUUCUCUGCAGAUACUGCCCUGUCACAGUGCCCCUCUGCUGUCAUCUGUCAUAUGGAAUAUUGGUGAGAAGGAUCAAUCUCCACUGCCAUACCACCAACAUCCACUUUUGACACUGUGGGCCAAUGUAAUAAAAUAGGAAGCAUUACUUUUUGAGCAGCCAUGUUGUAUGGUAACUGUUGAGUCAAGGCCUGAAUCCCUGAUUGAGCACCUGGGGAAAGGACAGGGGAAAGCACCUAGGAGCAAAACGUGAAGGCAAUUCAGCUGUGUGACUAGAAGGGGUGGAGCCUGGCUGCACCUUUCUUAGACCCCAUUUAAAGGGGUCUGCCACGGGGGAAAUUUCUUUCUGGAGAUUCUUCCUUGUUGGAGUUUUCCCCUGUGAACCUGGGAUCUUCUGAUGUGGAGCAGCGCAGUAAACAGAUUCCAGUUUCCACAGG